Molecule: ribosomal RNA, 527 nt
Filed under: uncultured Penicillium
Lineage: Eukaryota; Fungi; Ascomycota; Eurotiomycetes; Eurotiales; Aspergillaceae
Description: eukaryotic LSU rRNA
Rfam family: 5.8S ribosomal RNA (bases 169-322)
Source: RNAcentral
UGAGGGCCCUCUGGGUCCAACCUCCCACCCGUGUUUAUUAUACCUUGUUGCUUCGGCGGGCCCGCCGUCAGGCCGCCGGGGGGCUUCUGCCCCCGGGCCCGCGCCCGCCGAAGACAUCUCGAACUCUGUCUGAAGAUUGUAGUCUGAGUAUAAAUAUAAAUUAUUUAAAACUUUCAACAACGGAUCUCUUGGUUCCGGCAUCGAUGAAGAACGCAGCGAAAUGCGAUACGUAAUGUGAAUUGCAGAAUUCAGUGAAUCAUCGAGUCUUUGAACGCACAUUGCGCCCUCUGGUAUUCCGGAGGGCAUGCCUGUCCGAGCGUCAUUGCUGCCCUCAAGCACGGCUUGUGUGUUGGGCCCCGUCCUCCGAUCCCGGGGGACGGGCCCGAAAGGCAGCGGCGGCACCGCGUCCGGUCCUCGAGCGUAUGGGGCUUUGUCACCCGCUCUGUAGGCCCGGCCGGCGCUUGCCGAUCAACCAAAUUUUUAUCCAGGUUGACCUCGGAUCAGGUAGGGAUACCCGCUGAACUUAA